This is a long non-coding RNA of Trifolium pratense (red clover), 599 nucleotides long. RefSeq lists it as uncharacterized. The transcript is spliced from 2 exons. The record is from RefSeq and is a predicted model, not a curated record. Lineage: Eukaryota; Viridiplantae; Streptophyta; Magnoliopsida; Fabales; Fabaceae.
CCCAAAUUUAAUUAUUAGUAAUUAAUUGAUUAUUUGCAUUUAUUUUAUUUGUGGUUUUUAAUGUAAUUAAUUAAUUAUGUGUUAAUUGUUGGUUUACGUGUUUUUAAUAGAAAUAACUCAUUAAGAAUAGAAUGAGGGAAGUGAUGUGUUAGAAUAUGUUUUAGGCCUAUUUAGUAGAGGGGUAUUUUGGUAAAAGAAGAAUGGGGUAAACCUAACUAUAUAAAGACCAAGUUAGAGAGAGGUUGUCAUAAAUUAUGAUUUUGAUGGAGGUAGAGAGAGAAGCUCUCAAGAAAGAAUAGAUAAAGAGAAAGUUAGAGAAAAGAAGAGAAAGAAAUGAAGAGGAAAGCUAAGUAGAGGGGAAGAUUGAAGAAGAGCUAGGAGAUAAAGGACUAGAGAAUCCAACAUCAAUAAGGUUCUCAGGUCGUGUCGAGUAUUGAUGAAGCUUCGCUCUGAUUAUGACACAGGAAAAAUGGGUUUUAUAUAUGUAGAGUCCUCUAGUCUUAAUUAUUUUGUAUAAUUAAUAAUACUUUAUUUAAUUCAAAGAUUUGGAAUAAACUCGUAUUCUACUAAUUAAUGUUAUUAGUAAGGUUUUGAAGUAA